This 117-nucleotide ribosomal RNA is filed under the name Beta vulgaris subsp. vulgaris (sugar beet). Lineage: Eukaryota; Viridiplantae; Streptophyta; Magnoliopsida; Caryophyllales; Amaranthaceae. The record is from RNAcentral.
GGGUUCGAUCAUACCAUCACUAAUGCACCGGAUCCCAUCAAAACUAGUAGUUAAGUGUGCUUUGGCGAGAAUAGUACUAGGAUGGGUGACCUCCUGGGAAGUCUCGUGUUACACCCC